AUGAGAAGAAGUUUAAGGGGCGAAAUAGAAGCUUUAUAUUUUGAUAUGAAGGAUUAUUAGUCAAGAUUGGGCUAAAUAUCUCUAAGGAAUUUCAAAAUACAUACUCAGCUUACACUUUCUGCUCAGAAUUAAUAUUUUCUACUUCAAGAGGAGUGCAGAAACCUGACUACAUGGAGUAUAGGUUCUGCCUCACGCCCCUGCCCAUCUCACCCUGGAUCAGAAAAAAAGGAGGCUUGGGAAUACCUGAAAAUGGGCUUCACGGGCGGGUUGACUUCCUAUCUCCGUCCCCGCAAAAGGCUGCAGCUUUGCCCCAGACUUCCUUGGCGCCCACCCCCCGAGGCAGCAAAAGGAAGCAAUAG
RNAcentral lists this long non-coding RNA (359 nucleotides) under Vulpes vulpes (red fox). Its description in RNAcentral is "lncRNA (ENSVVUG00000027347.1)". The record is from RNAcentral. Lineage: Eukaryota; Metazoa; Chordata; Mammalia; Carnivora; Canidae.